Molecule: ribosomal RNA, 450 nt
Filed under: uncultured bacterium
Lineage: Bacteria
Description: bacterial SSU rRNA
Rfam family: Bacterial small subunit ribosomal RNA
Source: RNAcentral
GUGGGGAAUAUUGGACAAUGGGCGAAAGCCUGAUCCAGCCAUGCCGCGUGUGUGAAGAAGGUCUUCGGAUUGUAAAGCACUUUAAGUUGGGAGGAAGGGCAGUAAGUUAAUACCUUGCUGUUUUGACGUUACCGACAGAAUAAGCACCGGCUAACUUCGUGCCAGCAGCCGCGGUAAUACGAAGGGUGCAAGCGUUAAUCGGAAUUACUGGGCGUAAAGCGCGCGUAGGUGGUUUUGUAAGUUGGAGGUGAAAACCCCGGGCUCAACCUGGGAACUGCCUCAAAAACUGCAUGACUAGAGUACGGUAGAGGGUAGUGGAAUUUCCUGUGUAGCGGUGAAAUGCGUAGAUAUAGGAAGGAACACCAGUGGCGAAGGCGACUACCUGGACUGAUACUGACACUGAGGUGCGAAAGCGUGGGGAGCAAACAGGAUUAGAAACCCCGGUAGUCC